UACGUAGGGUGCGAGCGUUAAUCGGAAUUACUGGGCGUAAAGCGUGCGCAGGCGGUUUUGUAAGCCAGAUGUGAAAUCCCCGGGCUUAACCUGGGAAUGGCAUUUGGGACUGCAAGGCUUGAGUUUGGCAGAGGAGACUGGAAUUCCUGGUGUAGCAGUGAAAUGCGUAGAUAUCAGGAGGAAUACCGAUGGCGAAGGCAGGUCUCUGGGCUAGAACUGACACUCAUGCACGAAAGCGUGGGGAGCAAACAGG
Molecule: ribosomal RNA, 253 nt
Filed under: uncultured bacterium
Lineage: Bacteria
Description: partial 16S ribosomal RNA
Rfam family: Bacterial small subunit ribosomal RNA
Source: RNAcentral